RNAcentral lists this ribosomal RNA (450 nucleotides) under uncultured bacterium. RNAcentral describes it as "bacterial SSU rRNA". It matches the Rfam family "Bacterial small subunit ribosomal RNA", at positions 30 to 477 of the family's 1533-position model. The record is from RNAcentral.
AUUGAACGCUGGCGGCAUGCCUUACACAUGCAAGUCGAACGGCAGCACGGGAGCAAUCCUGGUGGCGAGUGGCGAACGGGUGAGUAAUAUAUCGGAACGUGCCCAGUCGUGGGGAUAACGUAGCGAAAGCUACGCUAAUACCGCAUACGAUCUAUGGAUGAAAGCGGGGGAUCGCAAGACCUCGCGCGAUUGGAGCGGCCGAUAUCAGAUUAGGUAGUUGGUGAGGUAAAGGCUCACCAAGCCGACGAUCUGUAGCUGGUCUGAGAGGACGACCAGCCACACUGGGACUGAGACACGGCCCAGACUCCUACGGGAGGCAGCAGUGGGGAAUUUUUGGACAAUGGGCGCAAGCCUGAUCCAGCAAUGCCGCGUGCAGGAUGAAGGCCUUCGGUUGUAACUAGCUUUUGUACGUAGAAGAAACAACAUUACGUAGUAAUAGUCUUGACGGUA